This is a long non-coding RNA of Symphalangus syndactylus (siamang), 469 nucleotides long. RefSeq lists it as uncharacterized. The record is from RefSeq and is a predicted model, not a curated record. NCBI's taxonomy places the organism in Eukaryota, Metazoa, Chordata, Mammalia, Primates, Hylobatidae.
GGCUCCAGGAAGGCCCUCUGCCAGGCUGUGGCUCCAGUUGCAACGCUGGCCCUGGGACUUCAGGCACAUGACCCCACUCAGAAGAAAAGACUGUGUGCCCAGCUCCCACAGCAGUCAAAUGCCUGCAGUGGGCUCCUCAUUCUACAUCACUCCUAGUGGUUCUGCUUCCUUAAACGCCAGCCAAACGAUGUGUCAUAAAGAGCCCGAAGGGUGGGUUUCUCCCUGAAGAGCUUCUGACAGACAUCUGCACCGAGAAAUCGAACUCCCAGCCUCCUUGCGGGUGGUCUCAGAUCUGCCAAGCCACCAGGCGUGAGGCUGGCAAGGGCGGAAGGAGAGCUGCCAAAUCAGCUCUGGAAUCCCACAGCUGACCCCGCCUCUGGUUCUGCAGGAGAGGAACCCAGCUUUGUUUUGCAGUCAAAGCUGCCUCUUCUGUUUUCUGCACCCAACCAAGAUGCCAUCUGACACCGAC